CCUACGGGAGGCAGCAGUGGGGAAUAUUGGACAAUGGGGGGAACCCUGAUCCAGCCAUGCCGCGUGUGUGAAGAAGGCCCUCGGGUUGUAAAGCACUUUCAGUGAGGAAGAACGCCUGGUGGUUAAUACCCAUCAGGAAAGACAUCACUCACAGAAGAAGCACUGGCUAACUCCGUGCCAGCAGCCGCGGUAAUACGGAGGGUGCGAGCGUUAAUCGGAAUUACUGGGCGUAAAGCGCGCGUAGGUGGCUUGAUAAGCCGGUUGUGAAAGCCCCGGGCUCAACCUGGGAACGGCAUCCGGAACUGUCAAGCUAGAGUGCAGGAGAGGAAGGUAGAAUUCCCGGUGUAGCGGUGAAAUGCGUAGAGAUCGGGAGGAAUACCAGUGGCGAAGGCGGCCUUCUGGACUGACACUGACACUGAGGUGCGAAAGCGUGGGUAGCAAACAGGAUUAGAUACCCCAGUAGUC
This 465-nucleotide ribosomal RNA is filed under the name Vreelandella stevensii. RNAcentral's name for it is "partial 16S ribosomal RNA". It matches the Rfam family "Bacterial small subunit ribosomal RNA", at positions 338 to 795 of the family's 1533-position model. Lineage: Bacteria; Pseudomonadati; Pseudomonadota; Gammaproteobacteria; Oceanospirillales; Halomonadaceae. The record is from RNAcentral.